RNAcentral lists this ribosomal RNA (253 nucleotides) under Agathobaculum desmolans. Its description in RNAcentral is "partial 16S ribosomal RNA". It matches the Rfam family "Bacterial small subunit ribosomal RNA", at positions 524 to 776 of the family's 1533-position model. The record is from RNAcentral. RNAcentral also lists the same sequence under 1 other name. Lineage: Bacteria; Bacillati; Bacillota; Clostridia; Eubacteriales; Butyricicoccaceae.
UACGUAGGGAGCAAGCGUUAUCCGGAUUUACUGGGUGUAAAGGGCGCGCAGGCGGGCCGGUAAGUUGGAAGUGAAAUCUAUGGGCUUAACCCAUAAACUGCUUUCAAAACUGCUGGUCUUGAGUGAUGGAGAGGCAGGCGGAAUUCCGUGUGUAGCGGUGAAAUGCGUAGAUAUACGGAGGAACACCAGUGGCGAAGGCGGCCUGCUGGACAUUAACUGACGCUGAGGCGCGAAAGCGUGGGGAGCAAACAGG